Molecule: non-coding RNA, 109 nt
Organism: Picea glauca (white spruce)
Lineage: Eukaryota; Viridiplantae; Streptophyta; Pinopsida; Pinales; Pinaceae
Source: Rfam
UACAACAUACCAUUAAUGAAAGAGACCCCAUUAGAACUCUACAGUUAAGUGCACUCGGGCUAGAGUAGUACUAGGAUGGGUGACCUCCUGGGAAGUCCUAGUGUUUUAC